Cephus cinctus (wheat stem sawfly) is the source of this 2433-nucleotide long non-coding RNA. RefSeq lists it as uncharacterized. The transcript is spliced from 2 exons. The record is from RefSeq and is a predicted model, not a curated record. Lineage: Eukaryota; Metazoa; Arthropoda; Insecta; Hymenoptera; Cephidae.
AGAGGCUCGUUCAGUGCGACCUGGUGCACCUUUCUUCCUUAGAAAUUUUGAGACUAAGGAAAAAAAGGAUGAAGAACCGGAGGAGCUCGGAGCAAAAGUCCAGGAAGAAGCCGGCGAGGCGAAGCUCAGGAUCGUCCUGACGAGAGGUUGGGUUCGUCGUUCCUUGCCGAUUGGUAGCUGAAUAGGAGGAGGGGAGUGGCUGCUGUGUCUUAUGGAAAUUGCGACUGGUUUCGCUCUAUGCAAAUGCGCCGUCACCUGAACGCUGAUCUUCCCCUGACCUCCCCCUCUAUCACACUUGUCGAAAACUCCUAAUUAUCAUUGCUUUUAAUACGUCUGCCUUGACGCUAGCCGAUCCGGUUAUUAAUAUCCGCUCGCUUCGGAAGCAACAGCCCGCAAGGUUCGUGGUAACGCUCGUGGAAAAUUGAAAUGCAGAUCAGGAUGCAUUGACGUCGAGGAUGAGGAUGAGGGCGAGGAGGAGCGCUGCCUCCGACACGAAGACGCCUACUCGGAUGAUCUGGCACGGCGUCGUCUCCGUAAUGACUGAAUGGAACAGCGAGUCUUUGCGCCAGAGUCUGCAUUGUCUGGUUAACACUGCUCGUUUAAAUGAUCGAAACGGGUGUUGCGUCACGAGGAGUCAAAUUAAAAGUGUACGUAUGAGUCAGCGCCGUCGGCAGUGACUCUCCGGCAGGACCGCCGGAGCGGCUUCUUACAGCUGGAACGAUAGCACGCUGGGCAGAUGAUGGAAUCAAUUCGGACUGCAGCCGACUACCGACUACCGACUACCGAGUCCCGAGCGAGUUGGUGGCAUAGCGCGUGGAAAGAGACGGUGCCGCCAGCACGUGAAUAUGGCGUCACGAUUUGUCCCUGGUGGUUUAUCAGGGAUUUACAAUUGAGACGCUAUCGCCACGUUUAAACAGCUACUCGUUAAAUAGCUCGGUAGGCCUAUUGUUUGGCCGAACCCUGCGCGCCGCCGUUCGACCUGCUUCGACUCGAGGAAAAUACCAAGGAGAGCCCCGGGAGAGCCAGGAGAGCCAGGAGAGUCCUAUCGGGCUCUGACUACUUACUGUCAAUGCCAAUGAAUAAUGAAUCUACGGAAGAGGCCGCAGGUGACAUCGAUUGGAGGACUGUGGACCUUACGUAACAUGCAUCGCCAAACUGGCACCCUGUACUCUAAACUUUUGGCUCUUCCGUAAUUCGCAGGUUCGCAUGACGUACUUGUGCCGAUGCUACUCACCAUAUUCUCCUGUGCACGUCCCGGGUCUGGCCUACCUGCGUUUGGCACCAGAUGCCUGCAUACCUCAGCAGCAGCAACCUGCUGCCUGCUGCCUGCUACCUGCUGCGAAGACUCCAAGGCUGCGGCGUGUUAUCUUUUGUCAUGAGCAUGACUUCACAGUAUACGAGUUACAAUUCUUCAGCUACAAAGUGUGCUGGUUACAUCAACUCGAUUGGAGGAUUGUCACGUGGAGGCAGGAUGACCACGUAGGAUUUUUUGACAAUUCUUUCCCGCGGAAUUCCAUGCUCGACACGGACUUUUGCUGAUCUGCCACGAAGUUCGCGUGCUCCAAGGCCAUCGCGUGCCGCUCGACGAGGAAGAUUGCGACCGAGCGGAAAAGCUGAUGUUUCGCUAGAAAAACCGCAGGUUCACCGGUAUUGCUCAAGAGCUCAAGAUUUAUUUCUUCGACUCUAAAUGAACGAGACGCGCAGGGAACCAUAGGAAGAGGAAUGACGUCCAUUGGACGAAGUUAUAACUGAGAAACUUUGAGCCAACUGGUCUCACGUAAUCGUCCAAGAUUAUCUUACAGCAGAGGUACGGAUAUUCUGGGAAUUUCGAACGGAAACCGACCUGGCGGUGACAUCGACGUCCAAACGGAACUGUUUGCUUUUUCGAGUCUUCGGCUUCGUCGACUCGUCCCAUAUUAUUCCACGGUACCCGAAGAAGCAGGAGAGAGAAGAGACAGCAGGAGCAGGAUAGACUGGGCCGAAUCGAUCAGUUGGAGAUUUGGCUGGACGCCCAAAGCGAAACCCGUACUUCCGGAGAUUCUACGAGGACAAAGCCGGAGUUUCGUGAUUGAAAUUUAUUUAAUCGAUAGUCGAACUCCCGUCGAUGAGACGCGACGAUAAAUGUGUUUGCGUCUCGUUCAGCCGCCAUUAUUACGAAGGAAGGACGUUGCUCGAGCGAUACUAAUUUUCUGAUUCCGAUAUUAUUUACAUACGGCGAUAGAACAUACGGAGCGAGGUACGAUGUAUGUUGAGCGCCAAGAUAGACGAGGCGUUCAGAUCGUAUCGAACCGGUUACGUCAGUGAUGGUUAUAUAUUUGAUUAUAUGUAUACAUGUAAACGUACGAUUAUUUUGCGAUAGGACGAAUCGCUAAUUAAUCAUUGAUCUAUACAAAUCUGUUAAAAAAGUUUUAAAAUUAUAACGUUUACGUGAAC